AGCCCCAACAGCGAAAAUUAAAGCUGCUGCAGCGAAACAGCUCGUAGUUGAACUUCUGCUGGGGUGGCUGGUCUGCCCGAUGGGUGUGCAGCUGGCUUAUUGAGUGGAGGUCAUGAUGGAUAGGGAUAGUUGGGGGCACUUGUAUUUAACUGUCAGAGGUGAACUUCUUGGAUUUGUUAAAGACAGACUGCUGCGAAAGCAUUUGCCAAACAUGUGUUCA
This 220-nucleotide ribosomal RNA is filed under the name uncultured eukaryote. RNAcentral describes it as "partial small subunit ribosomal RNA". The stretch from base 93 to 220 matches the Rfam family "Eukaryotic small subunit ribosomal RNA", at positions 845 to 972 of the family's 1831-position model. The record is from RNAcentral.